This 888-nucleotide ribosomal RNA is filed under the name uncultured archaeon. Its description in RNAcentral is "bacterial SSU rRNA". It matches the Rfam family "Archaeal small subunit ribosomal RNA", at positions 7 to 875 of the family's 1478-position model. The record is from RNAcentral.
GUUGAUCCUGCCGGACCUUACUGCUAUCGGGGUGGGACUAAGACAUGCGAGUCGGGCGUCUCUAGCUAUGUUGAGACGCGGCAGACGGCUCAGUAACGCGUGGCUAACCUACCCUCAGGACGAAGAUAACCCCGGGAAACUGGGGAUAAUAUUCGAUAGGUGAGAAUGUCUGAAAUGACUUUUCUCCUAAAGGACCUAGAUACAUGCUUCUAUGUCGCCUGGGGAUGGGGCCGCGCCCGAUCAGGUUGUUGGUGAGGUAACGGCUCACCAAGCCUAUAACCGGUACGGGCCGUGAGAGCGGUAGCCCGGAGAUGGGUACUGAGACAAGGACCCAGGCCCUACGGGGCGCAGCAGUCGCGAAAACUCCGCAAUGCACGAAAGUGUGACGGGGCUACCCCGAGCGCCAUCCGCUGAGGAUGGCUUUUCUUUGGUAUAACUAGCCAUUGGAAUAAGGAGAGGGCAAGACUGGUGUCAGCCGCCGCGGUAAUACCAGCUCUCCGAGUGGUGGGGAUGAUUAUUGGGCUUAAAGCGUCCGUAGCCGGCUUAGCAAGUUUCCUGUUAAACUCAGCGACUCAAUCGUUGGAUCGCGGGAAAUACUGCUAGGCUAGGAGGCGGGAGAGGUCAACGGUACUUCUGGGGUAGGGGUGAAAUCCUAUAAUCCCGGGAGGACCACCAGUGGCGAAGGCUGUUGACUAGAACGCGCUCGACGGUGAGGGACGAAAGCUGGGGUAGCAAACCGGAUUAGAUACCCGGGUAGUCCCAGCUGUAAACGAUGCGAGCUAGGUGUUGGGAUGGCUACGUGCCAUUUCAGUGCCGCAGGGAAGCCAUUAAGCUCGCCGCCUGGGGAGUACGGCCGCAAGGCUGAAACUUAAAGGAAUUGGCGGGAAU